AAUUUUGAGAUAAAGAUUGUCUCAGCAAUAGUUAUAGAUAGGCCCUUAUUUCAAAUUAUUGUCAACGUUAUUAACUCUAUCAAACAGAGAAGAAAAGAAAUAUCAAACAUCUAUGACACAAGAGAGAAGCAAAAGCUAGCUUACAUGAUUAUUCAAAAGGAGAGAUUUAAAUCACUUCACACACGGAAUCGCCGAUAUAUAAAUUUGUAGAUAAGAUCGUUAUACCAUUUGUUUACCUGCACGGAAAACAUUAGAGGUGAAACAACUGCUCCGAAGCCGACCGCAAAUCCAAUUGACAUGGCUAUGAAGAACCAAUCAAUUUCACCGCUUGAAGCUGGUGGCGGUGAAGGUGGUAACUCAGAAGGACGUGUUUGGCUUUCAUUCGUCAAAGGAGGUCCUUACAAUCCUUUGUUUCCUUCAUAAGAACUUGGUGAAAAUGAUUGGAGUUGAGUACUUGUCGGAAUCUUUCCCACUAAGUUAUUGUAUGAGAGAUUUAGGACCGAUAGGAAAUUUAGGCUUGCAAGCUGGGCAGGAAUUUUCCCGCUGAGGUUGUUCAUUGAGAGGUCCAAGGACUCAAUCUCUUUCAAGUUCCCAAAAGAUGAUGGUAUCGAGCCUGUGAGAGCAUUGUGCGACAUGUUCAGAGCAUAAAGUGAUCUGAAUCGUCCCAUUUCUACUGGUAUUGGCCCUUCGAAAUUGUUGCUUGAAAAGUCAAUGGAAGUGAAUAUAUUUGGGACCUUCAGUAGCUUGAUCUCUAUACCUUUUACUGUAACUGUUACUCUAACCUCAUAGAAUUGGUUGCUCGGCAUCUCAAUUCCAAGGUGGUUCACCUCAGAUCCGGAUUUGGUUUCAGCCACCAUCAUGGUAAGUAACCACUUUUGUGAAAGUCUUCCGCUGAAUUUAUUGCAUGCUAAGUCGACUAUUUGAAGCAGAGGCCAGGAGACUUUAUUUCUCGGACAGCUAAUGUGUCCGGAGAAGUUGUUGGAUCGCAAAACUAGAACUUGCAAACUAGAAGCAUUCCUUAACCAGCAUGGGAAAUUAUCACUGAUAUAGUUACUCCUGAGGUCUAAAACCUGCAGCAUAUUGCAAUUGGCAAGAGAUUUUGGAACCACUCCUUGUAGUUGAUUUCCACUGAGAUCUAGAAUUUGCAACCCACAAUCUCCUGGAAAUAUUGUGUCAGAAAGAGUGCCAUUGAGGUUGUUUCUCCCUAAAUUUAAAACCUCCAGAGUGCUGCUACUCUUGGUGAUUAAACAUGCAGGAAUUGUGCCACUCAAAUUGUUGUUUGAUAAGUCAAGAACUUGAAAAUUGGUAGCCUUGCAUACAGAUUCCGGGAUGACUCCAGCGAGACUAUUGUUUGCAGCGACAAAGUGUUUAUGGUUUUAUGCAUUUUUGUCAUUUAUUGUGAAUAUUAGUUCAAAUUAUUUAUGCAUAGAUGUUUUAUUUUUCAGAAAAUGUCUUCCCUGAGCCCACGUACUAUUAUUCUGAGUCAAAACAAACUCACUGGAGAGAACUAUAUAGAUUGGAAAAGAAAUCUAUUCAUUGUCCUGACUGCUGAAAAUUAUAAAUAUGUCUUAACCCAGCCAUGCCCCCCACUUCCAGCGGAUGAUGCUCAUAGAAAUCAGAGGAGGCUUUAUGAGAAAUGGCAAAAGGCCAAUGAAACGGAGCUGGUUGGAGUGCAGGUCAAGGAAGCGGAUACCAGAAAUAGAGUAAGGUUCUUGCAAGCUCACUACGAGGUUGUGUGAAAGAUUUAAGAACUUAAGAUUGCCACUACCAACUUCCCAAAUCCAAUUUGGUACUUCUCCAGAUAUUUGGUUAUCUGAAAUGUCCAAAACAGAAAGUUGUGAUUGGUUUUUUAGAAUAGGAAUGGCCCGUGGUUUGCUUGAAGCCAGUUUCAAUAUGCUAAACUUAUUGGAAGAAAGAUCGAGGGUAUAAAGGUUUCUGAGUUCAAAGAAUAUUGAAAUGGGGACAGGCCCUUCUAAUCUGUUGCCGCUUAAAUCAAGGUCAAACAAUACAGACGAGGACACGUUUGAAAUUUCAGGAAGUUGGUUCUCGAACUGGUUGUUGGAGAGCUGAAGCAUCUCCAGAUUUGGAAGUAGAAACAGAGAUCUGGGGAUACUUCCACUAAGUGAAUUGUGCCCCAAGACAACAAUUUGGAGAUUUAGAAGUUGUUCCCAGAAAGUGGAUGAGAUCCCGCCACUUAAAUUAUUGAACGAAAGGUCUAAGUUGUUGAGAUUUCUUGACUUGUGAAGAGAUGGGAUGGGACCAAAGAAAUGGUUAGAUGAGAAGUCCAUGUGAAAUAAUUGGGUAAACGAGGGAGGUGAUUGGUAUGUUUCCGGUGUGAGGGCGGCAGCAAACUCGGCGUCGGAGAUGGCUGGAAAUUAUGAACAGUGACUGCCUUUUGUGGUGAUGGCGGCUGGGAAGAGAAAAAGAUGGAUUUAGGGUUUUAAUAGUUUUUAUCAUUACGAUCACUAUAGUUCUAUAGAUUUUUUCUUUGGGCUGAUAAGUUUUAAUUUUUUGCAUUUAAGUCCAAAAACAGUUUUGAGCUUAAAGAAUCCUAGAUUUAGGCACAAUUAAAAUUUGGGUUUAAUGGAUUAAAAUGCAUAGACAAAAUUAAAUACAUUAAAUUUAUUUUUGGUCCAAAAGUUUUAUUUUAAUAAUUGGGCCAAAAACUCUGUACCUGAAGACAGACCAUAAUUGUAAUGCAAACGAAUCACGGAGAGUGACCGUGACUUUGCCAGGUAGUGAUUGAUUGGACCUGAAAGAUCACACCCGGACAAGCUUAAAACUUGUAGAUUGGGCAGAAAUGAUAAAGCUUUGCACCAUUCAGUUCCGGAGGCGGACAAAUCUACUUGAUCCAGAUGUAGCGAUCAAGAUGCAGUUCUGUGAGCUCUGUUAAGUUCUGCAGAAACAAGCUUAAGUUUGCGAUCCAAACUGUAUAGGAAUAUUCUAUGGGCACAAUACCUGACAAAUCAAGAGUAACCAACCUUGUCAAGCUUGAAAUCUCAGUGGGAAUCUCCCCUGCGAAGCCACCCUGGGAAAGAUUCAGGUAAGUCAAAUUUGUCAGGUUGCCCAAUCUGGAUGGUAUUUGGAAUCCUUUGAAGAGAGUGAAACCCAGAUUGAGGCUCUGCAGAUAUUGAAGAUCGAAAAGGCCAGUCGCAUUCUCAAGUCCGCCAAUGAUUGGUUCCCUGCUCAAGUCGAGACCAAUAACAUGACCAGCCUCAUCGCACCUUACACCGCUCCAAUCACAACAAUCGGAGCUUUGAUGGCUACUCCACUGACUCAGUUUUGUAGAUGGAAAGACACUGUCAUUGCUUAAUAUGAGACUGUUCUUCAUUUGGAGUAACAAAGAUUGUUGAUCGCUCUGACAUUGGCCAGAAACCAAAACCAUAUGUAUCCCAAAAUAAUUGGCUAAAAAGGGUAUCAAGAAAGGCCAUGAUAAGAGUAAAAUUGGUCGCAUUGUUUUAAUAAUUGCUGAAAUGAAACUCGGAGAGGAGUGAUGAAACUUGGGAGUUGCGAUGAAUUCAUUUAACAGGAAAAGGAUGGCCGAAGUUCCCUAGAAGUUACACCCCCAACGUAUAAACUGGGAGCUAGAAGACUACAAAAGUUCAAACCAAUUAAUGUUGCCAAGACUUGGGAGAAAAAAAAAAAGAAAAGAAAAUUGGAUCUUUUGGUUAAAUGCCUGCAUCAAAUACAGGAAUCUUCCAUUUCCAUAGGUCCAAAAUUACGACAGUAAAAAGUUAGUGGGGAUGUGCUGAAACCAAAGGCAGACAAAAUGGAUUCACGUUCUAAGGUUGCAUCAAAUACAGGAAUCUUCCAUUUCCAUAGGUCCAAAAUUACGACAGUAAAAAGUUAGUGGGAGAUCCACGCAUAAAACUAUAGAAGUAAGUCACUUAAAACUUGGUUGGGCUCAUUUCUUUUAGCAUUGUCUUUCAUUGUAUACUACGAAUAAAUAUCUUGUUACAACUUCUUUGGAAAAAAAAAAAAAGGUACUCUAUACACAAAUUCUAAAUUUGAAAAAUUAAUUUUUAUUUUGUACACUCUUUAAGAUGCCAAAACGAGAUACAUGCUUUUGGGAGAAACUUAUACGGCUAUCUCAGAUGAACAUGUACAACCCAUAUCAAUUUUUGCACCUAUAAAUUCUUUAAGAUCAAUAAGUAUGGACUUCACUACCCCAAUAAUAAUUGAAAACCAAAUUGUAAUCUGACACAAAAAAGAAGAAGAAGAAGAAGAAGAUGCUGACUGGGUUAUUAGGUUUAGAGUGCUUUAAUUUAUUUAUUUUUAAAUUAAAGACAAAAAAAUGAACACCUUCAUAGGGUGCAAGUAGAUUUACAAGAGAAAAAGAGGAGUAGACGGAAGGGUGGAAACAUUUAAAGUAAGAUUAGUAGCCAAAGAGUUUACUCAAAAAGAGGGAAUCGAUUAUGAGGAAACCUUUUCUCCGGUUGCUAUGCUUAAAUCCAUCAGGAUUCUGCUCUCCAUUGCUGCAGUGCUAGAUUAUGAAAUUUGGCAAAUGGAUGUCAAGACUGCCUUUCUUAACUAAUGAGUGUAUAUAUGAGUUUUAAAGUAAUUAAGUUGUAUUGGCUCAUUAAUAAAUAAAUCUUAAUAGUAAUUUAUAUGAUGAUUAAUUUUGUAAUUAAAUUAUUUUAUUAAAACCAGAGUGCUCAGAGUAGUUUUUAAUGUGGAAAUAGCCUAUAUCUUAUUGCAACUAAAAUUGAGCAUGAAUUCUUAGAGAUCAUCUAUGAAUAUUGCCCAUACAAUAUGUAUCUACGGUGGAACCAGUUUGGAGAUGAAUAUUGUCUCAAUGACAGAAGGCAAAGGCCCUUAUUUGAAAUUCUUGUUAAUUAUUUUAUUAACUUUGUCAAACAGAGAGAAGAAAAGAAAUCUCAAACAAAUAAGACAUUAUGUAUGUUUGGCAUACUUCAUCUAAUGGAUAUAAAUACUUAUUUAAUUAUAUAAACUCUUUUAAGAUUUAGUAGAGCUUUUAAAAAUUAAAUAAGUUAUUUUUUUCUCUACUAGUAAAAACUCAAAAUUUGGGUUUUUGGGAGUGAAUGUUAAAAAAGUUAUUUUUAAGAAUGUUAAAACACCUAAAAUAUCAUUUAUUUAUUCGAUAAUUUUAUUUCAUUCAUUUCAUAAUAUAAUUUUAAAAAACAUGCUUAUUAAACAAUUUUUUAAUUUUUAAUAAAAGCUUCCAUUGACAAACAAAUAACUAAAAUUAUUUUUAUGAAAACGCUAUUUAUAAAAGCUUUACUAAUAAAAACUCUAUUUAAUAAGCUAUAUUUAGAAAGCCAUACCAAAGUAAGUAUAAGAGAAAAUUAAAGCAAAAACUUUUAGGAUUAUUCAAAGCAAACUAAAAGUUUUUAGCUUUUAGGCGUAGACUUGGAAACUAAUUAAAAUAAUUUUGAAAUGAGGGAUAGGAUUUUGAAGGGAAUGAGUUAGAAACAAGCACCAAUGGAAUCGUUGGGACCUAGUAAAUCUGUGAUUAUUACAAUAUUAUAAUUAUAUAAUUCAUAGGAAGAUAAGGGUAUUAAUUAAAAUUUAGUCCAUUUCUUUGGAAUCUCUAUAUAUGUUCUGAUCCUCUUACUCCAUCGUUUUACAAAUUGUUGAUCUUGGCCUCCCCAAGUUCGUAGUUUCUUGAUUCUGAUCCCGUUGAACCAAAAUCAUGGCUCCAUGCAUCGCUGCUUAUAUUAAUUAGGAUUCUUUCUGCCUUUUGCAGUAUAUUAAUUAGCAUCAAACCUUAUUCAACCAAUAAAAAUCAGGGUCUUUAUUCAUUAUAAGAUCCAAUAAUUAAACAGAUUUACUUAAUUAAUCAGGUGAGUUUGAAUCUUGAAAUAAGUAUAAUAAAAAGAAUUAAUUUAGACUUUCACUAUUCCUCUACUAUGUUAAAAAAAAUCUUAAAAUUGAUUGAAUGCAAUUCGUUUUCGCGUCAAACUCAACUUUGAUUUGCUUGCGGGACCCGUAGACUUCGAAAAGUCUCGUAAGGAUACAGCUAACAUUUGACAGUGAUUUUAUUGCUUUUAAUUAAAAAAAAAAUUGAUUGAAUGUAAUUCAUCUCGCGCCGAACUGGACGCUAAUUUGCUCGUGGAACCCAAAGACUUGUAAAAGCCGUAAGGAGAGAGCUAACAAUUGAUAGUGAUUUUACAGGUUUUAUGAAGAGCCGACACAAGAUUCAUAGACACGUUGGAAAAUUAUUGGGAAAUUUACACUUUGACCACCUUCCAACUUUUAAUAUAAGAAAAAACCACAUUCCAUAUUUUUGUUACAAUAGCAAUUAUUUACAAGGUUUUUAGACUAGAAUUUUCAAAAACAAAAAUCCUUCUAAUAUCUAUUUUGUUAACUCCAUUAUAAUAAAAUAUCUCCCUGUUCAACUGGUGUUUAAAGCUAGCUCUAUAUGUAUUGUUGAUCUUUCAUAUGUAAUGUAAGGAUCGCAAUAGGACAUGGACUGAAAAUCCAAAGAUCAAUCACAUAAUGAGUAUCCGCUACUUUGCCCGCUGCUUCCAGCUUCGGCGAAGCUCUCUGUGGAUUGGACCCACAUGUACAAAAUGAUAAUCGUCUCUAGUUAAUUAAAAAGUGGUUAGAUUGAUUUGAUAGAUAAAAUUAAUCAUAUUCAUCAUAACUUUGUUUAAUCUCUAUCUCAUAAUUAAUGGGUUCCUCAUAUAAAAUGUAUGGCUUGGUUGUGUUAUUGCAAUUUUGUAUCCGAUCGCGCGUGUUUUUCUAUAGUAAUCUUGCUAUCGCUCUUUAAGGCACAUCGGCAGCCUCAUUAUUUCAUAUUUUUGUAAGAGGUAAUUAACUUAUAAUUCAAAAUAAAACAUAAAUUAUUAAUUUCAACGUCAAAUAUGGAGCUGUUCUUCAUCUAGAUUAAUAGCGAUUUUUGAUGGCCCUGACAUUGGCCAGACACCAAAACCAUAUGCAUCCCAAAAUAAUUAGCUAAAAAGGGUAUCAAGAAAAGCCAUGAUAAGAGUAAAGUUGAUCUCAUGAUUGGGUUUAAUACUAGUUGAAAUGAAACGAAGAGAAGGGAUGGAACUUGCAAGUUGCAAUGUGUAUGUAAUAUAGCAGAGUAAAGGUAGCCCAAGUUAAUUAAUUAGAAAGCAGCCGAAGAGGAAAUUGCAUUGUGUGUUUUUCAUGUUGGAUUUUGGAAUUGAAUUGUGUGUGGGGUUGAAAUAGUUGUGGAAUUGGUUGAAAUUGUUGUGGAAAGUGGAAUUGAAUUGUGUUUGAAAUGGUUGAGUAAUUUCCGAAUUGGUUGAAAUGGUGGUGGGAAAUGGGAAUUGAAUUGUGGGGUUAACUAUUUCGGUAUGGUCGGGUUGGGCCCGACCUGAUGUUGGCCCGAUUCGGGUCGAGCCUAACUAAAUAGUGUUCGGACUUUUUUAGGGUCGGGUUUCAAAUUUCUUUUGAUCGGGUCGGGUAGGGCUUGGCCGAGCCCGAGCCCGACCCGACAGGAGAAAGUAAAGCGUCCAUAUAUCCCACGCGCAUGUCAUUCAAUUAACUAAUUAUAUCAUCACAUCCCAUCAUCAUUAUCCUAUUAAAUGGAAUGUUCCAAGAAAGUAUUUGUAAGAGUUUUUUUUUUAAGUUUAAUCGUUCGAAAUGAUUAAAAGGUAGAUAAAUAUUGGCGAAUGUUGAGGUAUAUACUUAAAAGUAUCGAAAGAUAUUGAUGAGCUACCAACAUUUGUAUUUUUAUAUUUCCAACGUAUUUUGGUCAACUUUGCAAGCAUCUAAUAGAAAAUCUAUGUAAAAUUUAAAUUAAAAAAUUGAAAAUUACUUAUACAAUUUUGAUCUUACAAAUUUAUAAAAGUUAAAUAAAUAGGUUAGCAACUAUGGGUAUUAAGACAACUUUUGAUAUUACAGCAUGCUUGAAGAAAAUCUUUGAUGUUCUCCUAGCAUUGCACCUUAUCCAUUCAUUACUUACUAUAUAAUUAAUAAAAAUUGAAGUUUUUACAAAAAUUAGAGUUUCCCACAAUUAAUUGAAAGGAUUGUGUAGUAAACAAAGGAUUGUGUAGUAAAGAAAUCAAUGUGGCUUGGGACGAAUUAUUAUUCGAGCAUACAAUUAUGGAAGUCAGUUCCAAUCUUUUAGUGGAGUAGAUUUGGAAUUAAAUAAUUGGGCUAGUUUAAUUACAGGCCUAAUUAUUGUAGCCACUAUUGUAUGUUUCCAAAUGAUCUCCGGGUUAGCUCAUUUAAUUGACUGCACCACUACUGGACUAAUAAGCAAGAUAACUAGUUAUUUGGGUCAAAAGCCUAAAUAUAUCAUUUAGUGGGAGGCUCCAUUUAAUUAGCUUAUGUGUAAGGGGUCUUAUGUUAUUUUACAUGGUGGGUCCCCUAUUAAAUGAAAAGUAAGGUGAGUUUUAUUUUGGGCAUUAUUUGGAGUCUAGGGUUUUCACUAAAGGGAGAUAUAUAAGGCUUAUUUUCUCAAAAGAAAAAAGGUGAAGCCACUUUAUACAAAUCGGAGAAUAAGAUUUUUCUCUCUAUUGUUGAGUGAAAAAUUUUCUCGUGCUAGUUGCUUUGGUAGUGAUAAAGGCGCCCGUGGACGAUGUUGAAGUGACUGUAUUUCUUACGUACGAAAAAGCAGGUUGUUUCGGAGGAAGUAAUGCUGCAGCUUCAUUUGACAGCAUGGAUACAACAUCAUUCAUGGUGGGUCUAUCAUCAGCACUUUCUUGUACACAAAGGAGUGCAAUGUUCGCAUAUCUUAAAAGCAUAUGCUUGGAGGAAUAUUCAUCUUCUAAUACUGGAUCAUCAAUCAACUCCAAUGUCCUGUUGCUUGUCCACAGAUCCCAUGCCUGAACAACCAUACGAUGUUAUUAGAUAGUUGUACACUUGAUAUAGAGAAUAGUUUAAAAAUAGUCAGGUGCAAAAAUCCAAACGUUUUCACAUUGUAAAAGUGUGUGUCCACACCUAAGCAUGACGUGGGAAUUAAUAUAUAAUUUCACCUAAGUAGUAUAAAAGAAUAUGUGCAACGACUUUUGUUACGUACAUAACCCAGCAGAUUGAGAUAGUCGGUUCGAUAAAAUCCAGUGUUCUUCUUGCCACUUACAAUCUCAAGCAACAAUACUCCAAAGCUAAACACAUCAGAUUUAAUUGAAAAUAUUCCUUUGAAUGCGUAUUCGGGGGACAUAUAACCACUGUAAUUCAAUAAUUGAUAAAUAAUAAUCAGUAAUUUAUGCAUAACUUAAUCACUUUAAUUUUGAUUUGUGUCAUUCACUUACUAAGUCCCGACGAUCCUACUAGUGUUUGCUUGUAACUCAUUUUCUCCAAAAAUUCUUGCCAUUCCAAAAUCUGAUAUUUUGGGAUUCAUGUCUUUAUUCAACAAGAUGUUACUGGCUUUUAAAUCUCGAUGAAUGAUUCGCAUUCUCGAAUAUUGAUGAAGAUAAAGAAGCCCUUGAGCUAUCCCUUCAAUAAUCCGAAGACGUGUUACCCAAUCUGAUAACAUUCGCUUGGUUGGAUCUAAUUUACAAUAAAAGAACUAAACGUCAUUAUGCAUGAAAACAAAAAAAAUGUAGACUACAUUAUCUAACGUAAAUUGAUCUAGUGACUUAAUUUUUUUUUUUAAUAAAAAAUCUGAUAAUUGGAUGAUGUUAAUCAUUAAACUUAAAAAUAGCUAAAUGAAAUAGUAAAUGUUAAAUAUUCUUUUAGGUUAGGUAAACAAAGGAUUGGAUUGGACUAGUUAUUAAGAUUUAAUUGGAUUGGAUUAGACUGAAUUAUUUUAUAGUCACGUUUUGUGUUUGGUUUAGUAUUGGACGAGAUCAUAUUAAAUAGGGGCGAAGUUAUGAGGGAGCUAACCCGGGCUGUUUCUUGAAAAAAAAUUAAUUAAUUAUAAAUUUACUCUUUUUAAAAAACUUAUAGUAAAAUAUAACUAAUAAUUAUAGUCAAUAUCUAUUUUCUCUAAAUCGAAAAACUCACCUAAAUCCCUAACUAAUUGAUCCAAUUAUCCAAAGUCUAAAUUUCCCAAAACUCAGUUGUUCAAGUCAUCAAGUUGCCACCUCAUGGGUGACGGCUAGCCUCUGCCGCACCCACAUGCUCAUACUGUUUUUGAAUUAGUUAUUAGCUUAUACUUUUGUCAAAAUUUUUGAUAAAAUAAUUAAUAAUUCUCUAAUGUAUUAUUAUCGCAGAUAAUAUCUCUAAUGUAUUACUAUCGCAGAUAACAUAAUUCAGAUACGAUAUAUGAGUUUUCUUUUCUGAAGAAUCACAUGACAAAAUUUCGUUGAUAGUAUUUUUUUAUUUACAUUGUACUUUUAUAGUUUUGUUAUUAGUUUUUCUUGCUUGUCUAGUGUAUUUUAAUCAUUUUAUUUGUAUAGAAUAAUUUUUUUGAGAAGUAAUUGAAUUUAAAAAAAAAAUCUAGCCCACCCCAAAAAAUAGUGAUAGCUUCGCCACUGAUAUUACAUUUAGUUUAAGGAAGUUAAAAAAGCUAUUUAAAAAGUAUGAUUAUUUCUUAAAUUUAUAUUGUUAAUUAUUGAAUAUUAUAUUAGAUAUUCAAUUUCAAUAUAAAUUAAUAAUUGAAUAAUUUUGAUAUUUAGUAUUAUGUAGUAGUUUGAAUAAAUUACUGAAUGUAAUUAUAUGUUUAAUCUUAAAUUAAAUGCUAAAUGCUAUUUUACAUAAAUUAAUGAAUAAAAUUUGGAAAUGUAAUAUAGGCUAAAUUCUAGUUUAAAUAAAUUUUGAAAUAAAUUUUUGAUAUGUAAUUUUAUUUAUUAAAUAUUAGUUCAAACAAAUGUAUGAAUAAAAUUUGAAGUAAGGAACAUGUAAGAAUAAAUGCAAUAACUAACCGAAAAGAAAGAAGUCCAAGCUUUUGUUAGGCAUGUACUCAUAGAUCAGAAUCUUCUCAUCUUUAUCCCUGCAGCAGCCCAAAAGUCUAACAAGAUUCUUGUGCUGAACCUUGGCUAUCACUGAAGCUUCAUUUUUCAUCUCUCGCAAUCCUUGUCCAGAUCUUCCUGAAAGCCGUUUCACAGCUAUCUCAUCUCCUUUUGCUAAUACUCCCUGAAAUUGUAGUUCUUGUUAAAUAAUAAUUAGUCCAUAAGCUUGUUGCCAAAAUUAAAAUUUUACCUUGUAUACAGGACCAAAACCACCUUCCCCGAGUUUAUUUGUGGCAGAGAAAUUAUUUGUUGCUGCACAAACGCUGGAAAAACUGAAAAAGGGCAAUUCAAUUUGCUUUUUUCCACUGUUUCCAUGCUUAUUUGCUUCAGCAAGCUCUAUGUUAAUAGCUUGUUGGUUCAUACCCAAAUCAAAUCGCAUCAAAUCCUCCCCUGAAUGGUGAAGACAUAAAAAAUAUUCGUACUAUAUACUCGAUCAAACAAUCAUGUGUUAUAUAUGCUAUGCGUGAUAAAUUAAUUAACUAAUCUUACGUACCUUUGCUUUCCGGAUUUCUCUUCACAUAACAAAUAAUAAUCAAACCCAAGAGUAUCAUCCCAAACGCAGUUGCGGUCAGCAGCAUCAAGACGAUUACAGAAGGCCUCGCAACGAAUGUUAAUAUUAAGGCGACGAAUGAAGCUAUUACUAAAUUAACAACAGUGAUGACUACAUAACGCUCCAUUGAGCUCAACUGAUUACUGGCCCCAGUUGAGACGGUUCAUCUUAAAGGAAAUAUGAUUGACGCUGAAAAUAGUCUUAUCCAAUUAAGUCUUGCGUGCCGACCCAUCAACGUUGAAUCAUUAGACUGAUUUGUGUUGAUUAUCAUAUAUAAAAACAAACAGGUCCUAAUACUAAGACUUUAGCUAGUUCCCAAAUCUACACUUACCGCGGCCGUGACUCACGAGUGGAGUUCCAAUUAACUGUGAAAGUGAUCUACUGUGAGAAUACUAAAAGAAAUGAUCAGUCCAACCACAGCCAAGUUUGAUUUGGGAAGGCCCAAAAACCUUCGAUGAUCAGAAUUCUUGUAAUUAAAGAAGAAUCAGGUAAUAAGUUAUACCUGUUCGAUCAAUAAUUUUGAAUAUCACCCGUCUGCUGUUAACAAUCUUAAAAAAUCGAAGGUUGGUUUUAUAAAACCAGGAUUCACAUAAUUAAAAAAAUAAUGUGUCACUUUUCAAUAAAUUUUUUUAUGCCACGUUAGUUUGCACAUACCAAUUUAUAUAAAAUUAUUUGUACUAUAUCAUUAUUGAAUUGAUAAAGUGAAUAGAUUCAUCUUUUACUAGCUUUGUGCAUUUUUAUGUGUAAAAAGCAUCACUCAAAAAAGAAAAUAAUAAAGCCUUUUAUGAUCCCCUAGAAACGAAGGAUUCUAAUCAAUUUUUUUUUUCUUUCCAUCAGACCUCUUCAACGCUUAAAGUAUACUAGGGAUGCACAAAUAGCGGAAAACUGGAAAUGCAUAUAUAAAGUGUUCUGGACAAUGGAGAUGAUAUAGUUUUACUAUUUUAGAUACUCUGCUAUUUAUGGGCCACUUGUGCUUGUAGCCCAAUGGCUUGGGGCUCGUUCUCUUUAAAUAAGGUCGAUUUCCACCAAAGCAACAUUAGUAAGAACAGAUUUUCGAGAUUACUGCUAAUUUAGAGUCCUGUAAUUUUUAGUUAUUUUAAAUCGUAUGUAUAUAUUUGCAACAAAUUAAAAAAGAAUAAAGGAUUUCUCAAAAAAUGAAAAAAGAAAAAAAAAUAAUACUUUUGUGUUAUGCUGUUAGAUUUGGAAAAGCCUUUACAGUGAUUGGAUAGAUUUUUAUUUGCUUAACAAUUAUUUUACUGCUAAUUUUAUAUUUAACAAUUCUUUAUAAUCAGUAAACAUGGUACUUCUGAUAAUAAAAACACUCCUUGAUUUGAAAAAAAUUAAUCAUUUGAUCAUGGAUAUCAACGGAUCGCGCACUUUGCAAUUUUCAUUAUUCUUGUUGCCUUGGUGUCUGCUGUCUUCUUGAUUGUCCACUACCUGUUAAGAAUAAGUUGAGUCAGCUCUGUGAGGCUCUGUGAUGUCAGCAAAUUGUUAAGUGAAGUAAUGAAUCAGAUGCCACGCUACUGGAAGCUACUGGAAGAUUAUUAUGCAUGUUGUUAAAAGUUUGUUAUAAGUCUGUUAUUUCCCACCAAAAUGUUGUGGUGAAUAGCAGUGUGCGCAUAUGAUUCUGCUACAUUCACAAAGUUCCAGAUGCUACUAUAUAUAUACUGUAUUGUAAUCUCAGUCUAUUGUAUCAAAUCAUAAUUUUCCUCUCUAAGUCAACAUAAUUUCCUUCAUUUCUUGCCAGACAAACAAGCAUACAGAAUAUAAAACUUUAAUUCUACCAACUUCUUUUAUGAUCAUCUCGAUGGCCAUGUCAUCCAGUUUUUGCGGAGUAAAAAUCGUUGGAGCAGUAGAAUGAUUCUACAUCAAAGGCUACAACCUUCGGAUCAUUCUUUAAUUGAGAGACAUUAUCUUUAGUAUUUUUGGGAGAUGGGAGAAGGGACCACGUGUUCAUAGAAUAUAAAUUCUAUAGAGUGGCGACAUACUGUUGACUUAAAAGUCUUACUAGGAAGAGGAAGCAAAAAAAUGUGUGGUGCACAUAAAGUUUUCACUUGGGUGAGAUUAUAACAAGAUGGCAGCAAUCACCAAGAGAGAGUCUCAUAUAAUAUAUAAGGUUCCAAUAGUUUCUAAUCUCUUAAAUCUAAUGAAUCACUUGAUAUUUGAGCAUGGCUUCGUAGAAGUAGGGAUUUGGACAUCAAAUCACAUAAAAAUCUUAAUGUAUGCUUUACUUUAAAGCACUCUAUUUUUAUGCAUUAACUUUGUCUAAUAAACUUUUAAUUAAAAUUGAUAAGCCUACUAAAAUGGGCUAAACCAUUGAAUGGCUUGAAUUUGGAUUCAUGAUUAUAAGAACCCAAUUUGCGGUUAAUUGAUAAUGCACAUUCAAAUAGACAUUGAAGAGUAAUGAUAAUUUGCAUAUACUGUAAACAACUUGAAUUUUUAUUAUUGUCACACUUGCAAUAAGAUCAAGACAUAUCAUAAUCAUUUUAUCGUUGUUGUAGGCCCAUUGAUUUUCUGCUUUGUUGAGCUUGAGCCAACAUAUUUUGAAUGAUUUUUUGAAAUAUUUUCAAAAUAGAUUUUGGAUGAUAUGGGAUUAUUGGUGAUCCUCAAGAAUUGAGAGAUCAAAGAUACGCUAUUGAUGGUAGUAUAUGAACAAAAAAGUAAACGAACCUGUGGCAAGUGCAGAUAGAUAUAAGUCUUUGCUGUUGCAGGGUUGUGAUUUUCUGCCCCAUUACUCCAGUCAUAACACACCUACAGGAAAUGCAAGAUAAGAUUUAGAAUGACACUUUUCUAGUUUAAGUUUAAAUGUCCAAGAAAUCAAUGCACUAUGCCAUGCCAGGAUCAGAACAUAGCAGGAAGAACCAGAAAUUUUAGUUGUUUAAUUUCAUGGAAACGCAAAUUCAGGUAACAUUGAAUUAACAUGAGCCAUAGAAGACUAAGCAUCAUGCAAACAGACAGAAUGAAAGAGGCGUGGAUUUCUAGAAUCCUGCCAUUAUCUUGAACUUAAGCAUAUAUCCCAACAUGUGUGAAAAGUAGGAUGAUAAGAGACUCCAAGUCGACUUUAGGAAGAUGGAUGAAUUUAUUUACCAAGCACACAAAUAUCGAGCCAUCAUUAUUGAAUGUACUGCAAGGUAUAGGUUGCCCGCACCUUGACAUGGCCUGAAAAUCCAGUAAAAAUCACAUUGUUUUAUGUAUUUCAUCUAGGAAGAACAAUAACGACAACAACAAUAAUUGUUAUUGAAGUACUGAAUGAAAGUCAAAACACCUUGAGCCGCUGUUUACUAUCCUUGUCCCAAAAAUUAAAUGCACCAUCAGAUCCGGCAGUUGCAAAAGUGUGAUGUAUCUGGACAAAAAGAACAAUUACAUGAAGAAUACUUAGGUGCAUCUCCUGCUCUACAAAUCUUAAAUGAUAACAUAUGAUGUUAAUAACAGCAAAAGUAUAUGCACUGAGCAUUGAAAUCCUCACAAAAGAAAGUACAUUUCCACUGUUGGAUAAAAAUUCCUAUGAUACCAACAUCUUAAGGGCACCAAGAUCUAAUACUUGAAAGAUCUCUAAUCUUUAGAGAAAUUACAAAUACUGGGAAAAAUUAUGUAAGACAUGGGUGGCAUGCUAAAGUUACCUCAAAAUGAGCUAUUAUAUCACUCCAAUGUAUACUUUUAUUUCUAAGUUUUACAUCUCGAACGUUUUAUGUAACUGAAAAUUUGAAAUCAGAAAGCACUAAAAGGAAGCUUACAGGAUGGAAGUGAAUGAGAUGACAGAGCAUGUCUCACUACCGUCUCUGUGGCAUUUGAAAGUGAAGUUCUUACUUUGCUGUGAAUCAUCAAGAUGGUGAACGCCGACCCUUCCCUCAAUUGAACCAACCUAUCGGAAUAACACCAUAUUCAACAACCAAAAAAUAAGAGAAGCACAAAGAUUAGAAGAAAAGACAGUGAUCUCAAUGAAAAGAAGUUGGAGCCAAUGUUGAUGAAAGUGGAAUAAGUAAUUGAGGCUAAACUUAGCCCCUCAUUGCUGGCAGGGGAAGCAAAUUUUGAAACAUGGGAAUAUGCAACCCAAUUGACAAUGCCUCAUAUUUCGAGAAUAAAGACCAUGAGGAACGAGAAAAGAGAGAUCAAAAUAAAUGAAUGCAUACCCAGAAACCUUGCUGGUCAGGAAAGGCAGCAACACAUCUCAUCUGGUACUUCAAAGGGGAAUUGAUUCUCUUGAACUCAGUCUGGUAGCAUUAAACAAUGAUUAGACAUACUCGGAAGAAAAUGCAUAUAUUAGAUAUAAAUAAGUGAAACAAAAUAUAAAAAGAACAAUACAUGAAGGUAAAAUAUGGAAAUCAAUAAAUACCCAACAAAAAAGUUAAAUAGUAACAAGAAUUCAUCGCCUCUUGACCAUUUUUAUGUUGCAAUAAGCAUGUGCCAUAUAUGGUAAAUUGUAAUACAGGUAAUGCGGAAACCGUUAUCUAAACUCUCAUGAUAGUGUAUGAAGAUAUAGUAUUGUACCCAACCUUUAGUUCAAAUUUCUAAAUUAGCCAGAUUUCAAAAUUUCUAGGAGCUAUUAUAUCUUAUUUAUAUCAUCAUCACAUAAGAACAGAUAAAGCAUGACUGAAAUUAUCAACUAAAAUUGAAAGAUAUAAGGCAAAUAAACACAUUCCAAAUUGCUAUUUUUUUCAAUUAAAAAGGAAUAUUGAAGACAUGGAAAUACAUACUAUAACUGUAGUGUAUAUAUGUUGGCAAAUCUACAAACAUCAAGCUCUUCUCAGUAGACCAGUUUAUUAUAGUAUCCAUUCCUCCUUGUACACAAACAAAAUGAUAUCGAGAAAUAACCUUUUUCCAGACAACACCAAUCAGAAGAAAAAUAUCUGGCAACAAAAGAAAUCAUACAAUAAUUUUAUACAGGAUGCUCCAUGACAUUGAGGAACCCUUUUGAAUACAAGGGAAGGUGGUUCCAUACGGUAGGAUAGCUUUCAAUUCCAAAAACAGUCAACAAAUAAUUAUUGUUUCCAUUCCACAUUAAAAAAGAUGGGUUCAAGUUAAAUUUUAAAUCAAAGUCAACCAACUACUAGUGUCACAGCAACUGCUGCCACUCAAAACACAUGCUUCAGCUGCCAGCACCAAAUUUGCCCAUUUAAUUUACACAUAUAAAUCAAUGCUCUCAUGGAAUAAAAAACGAUACCUGAGGAUUCUGCAAGUUGAAGACAACUAGAUUUCUAUCUGCAGUUCCAACAACCAUAAGCGGAGCGCAUAGCAGCGAUCAGGCAGCUGUUGAGUGCGCACAGGAUUUGGCUGCCUUGUAUCCCAGUACCUAAUUACAUAUUGAAACAUCAAGAGGAUAAAGAUCUCAAAUACAAGAACAUCAAGAGAGUACAAGUGACUGAUCAACUACACGCAAAAUCAUACAAAGUGCACAUGGCACCACAUGGAGACACAGUAAACUGUUGACCACAUCAGAUACCAAACAGAAAUGAAAGGAUAUAACGGAGAAAGAAAAGAGCAUGACACACAACUUAGAGAAGAAAGAAAGACAAAAACCUACGAUAUUAAAGCACUCAUCAAGGGCGUUUCUCUUUAAACAACGCCUAAAUUAUAUAAGUAUGGGAAAAGAGUGCCGACAAUUUGAGAGUCCAUAGCCCCUGCCAGCUCAUAUCCACUUUGAGCAUCGGUAAUUGUCAGUACAAGUUAGCAUGGCAGAACUAAACACGCCCAACAUUUCCAUUCAUUCAUCUGAACACAACAUGGCCACUCUUCUGUUUGAGGUCAUGUGAACUGACCACUUAACUAUCCACGUGCACAUAUUGUCCAACUUAGCAAGAAGGUCAUUAUACUCAACUACACAAUGAAGACAUCUAACAGAUGAACUUCUAAUAAUAAAAGCAAUUUACUGCCCGAACCAAAAUGCCACAUAGACUGCAAUUUUAAAUUCAUAUAAAAAGAAGUGAAAAUUCUUACUUCAAUGUCUUCUGUAUGAAAAUCACACUAUAAACUACCAAGCACUACUAGCAAGCCUGAUGAUUCACUUACUAACUACUGUUCUUUUACACUGAAACUCCAACACAUUCACAAGCUUAGCAAUUGGUUCGCUUUCAACAAUCCGUUCAGCAAGACAGCAAGCAAACAAAUGAUCAUAGCUUCGCAUACAUAUUUAGCAUUAAAAAAAAAAAUCUUUAUCCGAAAAUGUAGAAUUAAUUUUUACAUUAACACAAGCAAUUAAGCUUAACCCUGACAAAAAUAUAUAAUAAAUAAUUUAUAUAACUUUCUACUUAAUCCUAAUAAUAACAUCACCAUAAGCAUUAAUUCAACAGUCGCCAAGUUCAUCAUACACAAGAAACCGACAAGAAAUUUAACGGUAAAUAAUUUUUAAAGAUUAUCGAAAAGAAAAAAUAAUAAAGAAAAUAAAUAAAUAAAGUAUACCUCGAUGGACUUGUUAGGGUUUUGAUUGGUGGCAACGGCAGCAGCACCGAAAGUAGCCAUUAUUGCUUGAAGCAGUUCAGUUAAUUUGCUAUUAACUUGCUAAUUUUUUAUCGUUUCGUGAUAUUUAGUUGGUGAGUGACAGAGCGAAAGAUUAUUUGUUGAUUCGGUGAUGAUUUUGAAAGAAGAGGGAAACGAGAAGUAAAAGAGAAAAGCUAUUUAUAGAGAGGACAGAGGAGAAAUGUUGUGGGUGUAGGUUAAGACUCUGCGCAUACCCCGUGUAGCCUGUAUCAACGCCUGUCAACUGAAACGCGCAAAAACUACGACCAUCCAGCCAAGGCUUGAGUUGAGUUGCCGCUAGGGAUGGCAGAAAAGUGAGCGCCCGGCCCAGUCAGGCUUCGGCUCCACUUUUAGGCUUCGAGUCGGAUCGGGCUCGGUCUAGGGGUUAAUCAAGAAAGUCUGAGUCCGAUCCUUCAGCCCGACAAUUAAAUAUUAAAAAAAAAAUGCUCUGCUGUACGGCCAAGGCGGAUGUACGGUACAGCAGCAUCGAGAGCGUAACUUACCUGGGAAUAGGUGCAAACGAGAAUUGAAUAAAAGCNNNNNNNNNNNNNNNNNNNNNNNNNNNNNNNNNNNNNNNNNNNNNNNNNNNNNNNNNNNNNNNNNNNNNNNNNNNNNNNNNNNNNNNNNNNNNNNNNNNNNNNNNNNNNNNNNNNNNNNNNNNNNNNNNNNNNNNNNNNNNNNNNNNNNNNNNNNNNNNNNNNNNNNNNNNNNNNNNNNNNNNNNNNNNNNNNNNNNNNNNNNNNNNNNNNNNNNNNNNNNNNNNNNNNNNNNNNNNNNNNNNNNNNNNNNNNNNNNNNNNNNNNNNNNNNNNNNNNNNNNNNNNNNNNNNNNNNNNNNNNNNNNNNNNNNNNNNNNNNNNNNNNNNNNNNNNNNNNNNNNNNNNNNNNNNNNNNNNNNNNNNNNNNNNNNNNNNNNNNNNNNNNNNNNNNNNNNNNNNNNNNNNNNNNNNNNNNNNNNNNNNNNNNNNNNNNNNNNNNNNNNNNNNNNNNNNNNNNNNNNNNNNNNNNNNNNNNNNNNNNNNNNNNNNNNNNNNNNNNNNNNNNNNNNNNNNNNNNNNNNNNNNNNNNNNNNNNNNNNNNNNNNNNNNNNNNNNNNNNNNNNNNNNNNNNNNNNNNNNNNNNNNNNNNNNNNNNNNNNNNNNNNNNNNNNNNNNNNNNNNNNNNNNNNNNNNNNNNNNNNNNNNNNNNNNNNNNNNNNNNNNNNNNNNNNNNNNNNNNNNNNNNNNNNNNNNNNNNNNNNNNNNNNNNNNNNNNNNNNNNNNNNNNNNNNNNNNNNNNNNNNNNNNNNNNNNNNNNNNNNNNNNNNNNNNNNNNNNNNNNNNNNNNNNNNNNNNNNNNNNNNNNNNNNNNNNNNNNNNNNNNNNNNNNNNNNNNNNNNNNNNNNNNNNNNNNNNNNNNNNNNNNNNNNNNNNNNNNNNNNNNNNNNNNNNNNNNNNNNNNNNNNNNNNNNNNNNNNNNNNNNNNNNNNNNNNNNNNNNNNNNNNNNNNNNNNNNNNNNNNNNNNNNNNNNNNNNNNNNNNNNNNNNNNNNNNNNNNNNNNNNNNNNNNNNNNNNNNNNNNNNNNNNNNNNNNNNNNNNNNNNNNNNNNNNNNNNNNNNNNNNNNNNNNNNNNNNNNNNNNNNNNNNNNNNNNNNNNNNNNNNNNNNNNNNNNNNNNNNNNNNNNNNNNNNNNNNNNNNNNNNNNNNNNNNNNNNNNNNNNNNNNNNNNNNNNNNNNNNNNNNNNNNNNNNNNNNNNNNNNNNNNNNNNNNNNNNNNNNNNNNNNNNNNNNNNNNNNNNNNNNNNNNNNUCUUGACCUGCUUGUCACAUCCUCCAGAGAAGACAGUAGUUCCAUCAUCCUUUCAUGUUGAGCAUAGGACCUUCAAAUUUCAAAGAUAAGAAAAAGGUUAAAUUAUCAGCAAUCACAAAUUCAACAGUAUGUUAUUCUAACUACCACAAAUCUUGCUUUAGAUUACCGGAUGGUCAUGCGAAAUUGAUGCCUUGGGCACACUGGCCACACCAGUUCCGCUGCGUGAAAUUUCCCAACACCUUACCUGUGGGAAACCAAUUGGGCAAACCUGAUUAUCCCAUGAGGUUGCAACCAAGAUAUUGGCCUUGGGACUGAAACAAAGGCUUGAAACAGAAUCACUGGGAGGUUGAGACACCUGCCAUUGAAAAAUUUCACGUAAGUACUCCUUUUCUAACAGCUUCGAUGACAGAACUACACUUCACAUACAACUACAUGACAAAUAUCAACGUCUAGCAUAUAAAUUUGGAACCUAUGACCAGAAACAAUUUAUCUCAUUUGAAAAUUUGGUGCAUCAAACUUUUACAUGAUCAAUUGUAGAAAACUUAUCUUCAUUAACCUAAUAUGAACUUAACAUUCCGACCGAGUUUUCUGUAUGAAAAUCACACUAUAAACUUCCAAACACUACUAGCAAACCCGAUGAUUCACUUACUAACUACUGUUCUUUUACACUGAAACUCCAACACAAUCACAAGCUUAGCAAUUGGUUCGCUCUCAACAAUCCGUUCAGCAAGAAAGCAAGCAAACAAAUGAUCAUAGCUUAGCAUGCAUUAUUUUGCAUUAAAAAAAAAAAUUCUUUAUCCGAAAAUGUACAAUUAAUUUUUACAUUAACACAAACAAUCAAGCAUAAACCUGACAAAAAUAUCUAAUAAAUAAUUUAUAUAUCUUUCUACUUAAUCCUAAUAACAUCAUCAUAAGCAUUAAUUCAACAGUCGCCAAGUUCAUCAUACACAAGAAACCGACAAGAAAUUUAACGGUAAAUACUUUUUAAAGAUUAUCGGAAAGAAAAAAGAAUAAAUAAAGUAUACCUCGAUGGAUUUGUUAGGGUUUUGAUUGGUGGCAACGGCAGCAGCACCGAAAGUAGCCAUUAUUGCUUGAAGCAGUUCAGUUAAUUUGCUAUUAACUUGCUAAUUUUUUAUCGUUUCGUGAUAUUUAGUUGGUGAGUGACAGAGCGAAAGAUUAUUUGUUGAUUCGGUGAUGAUUUUGAAAGAAGAGGGAAACGAGAAGUAAAAGAGAAAAGCUAUUUAUAGAGAGGACAGAGGAGAAAUGUUGUGGGUGUAGGUUAAGACUCUGCGCAUACCCCGUGUAGCCUGUAUCAACGCCUGUCAACUGAAACGCGCAAAAACUACGACCAUCCAGCCAAGGCUUGAGUUGAGUUGCCGCUAGGGAUGGCAGAAAAGUGAGCGCCCGGCCCAGUCAGGCUUCGGCUCCACUUUUAGGCUUCGAGUCGGAUCGGGCUCGGUCUAGGGGUUAAUCAAGAAAGUCUGAGUCCGAUCCUUCAGCCCGACAAUUAAAUAUUAAAAAAAACAAUUCUAGUUGUAUUUUGGUUGUAGCUUUUUAAAUUCAGUUUAUUUAAAUGGGUUUAUAUUAGCAGAGUUUUUACAAAUAGAUAUUUUACGCAAAAAAAUUUAUUUUUUGGUUGUCAAUAUUUUAUUAAAAGUUAUAAAAAUGAUUUUAAUAUGUAAGUUUUUUAAAGUUAGGUUAUGAAAAAUAAUGAAAUAAAGUUGUCAAAUAAGUAAAUAAUAUUUUAAACAUUUUAGUAUUUUACAAAAAAAAUUUCAACUUUUACUCUCAAAAGUCCUAAAUUUAAGCUUUUGAUAGUGGACACCAAAUAUCUUAUUUAAUAUUAAAAAAAUUCUACUAAACAAAUAAUCAAACAAUAACAAAAAAUUUGAUUAAGAGCUUAUGGGAUUAAAUAAAUACUUAAAACUAUUAGACAAGUCAUAGCAAAUAGACACUUACUAAUUGCAUUGUGAUAAUUGAUAUUGUAUUUGUUUCUAUUCAAUUUUAUUUUAAUUUAAUGUAAUUUUAUUAUAUUAAGUGUCACUAUUACUAAUUAUUAAUUAGUGUUAUUUACUAUUAAUAACUUUUUUCCCCAUUUUCAUCUUUUUGUCUUUCUUUCCUUCUGAAGGUUGCUUUUUCCUUCUUUAUAAAGGUUAGUCUUUCCUUCCAUACUUCCAUGUGAAGGCUAACUUUUCUUUCUUUGUGAAGAUUGGUUUCCAAUUCAUUCAUAUUAUUUUAAGUCUCUACAAUAAAUAAAAACAUAUUAUUAAAAUAAAUAUAAUAAUUUAUAUAUUUAAAUUUAUUAAAAUAUUAAAAUAUUAUUAGUCAGCUGCAUAGAUUACAUUAUUUAUAUAAUAUUUGUAUUUGUUAAACAUUUUAAAGUCUAUUUUUUUGGGGAAUAAUAGAGAUAAAGAGUAUAAUAGUCAAAAUGAGUCUUAACAUCCUUUUAUGAAAACUUAGGAGUGUUGGUGACUACUUCUCCACAUUUUGCAAGUGGAGAUGUCUUUUUCCCCUUACUAAUAUGUAUUAUACAAUUAGAAGUCUACUCAUAAACCAUCUAGAUCAACUCUAUUAUAGCAUAACCUAUAAUUCUAUCUUACAAAUACUGGAAGGUUAUUUGUUCUACCUACAAAAAUCAAUAGAGAAAAUUCAUAUCUUUACGUAAUUUUUAAUUAGGAGAGUAAAAUUUAAGAGGACUUGGAAGAGUUAGAGUUUACCACUUGGCUAAUGGCUGAGACUAGGGGUGGGCAUUCGGUUCGGGUUAACCCGAACCGAACCAAACCCGAAAUUUAUUUCGGAUUCGGUUCGGUUUGGGUUAACCGGUGAAACCCCAACGGAUUCAAAGCUUCAACCCAUUCGGGUUAAAAUUUAGUUUGGGUUCAACCCGAACCGAAUUCUCAACCCGUUCGGGUUGAAGCCUUUUUUUUUUUUUUUUCGUGCGUUCACCUCGCGUCCCACUCAGCCCAACACGGUCUCGAUCUGCCGACGUUGUAGCUGCUCCGAGAUCAAGGUUUGUCUCGCUUUGCCGACGCUGUAAGCCUGUAACUUGCUGACUUGCUUGCAGCUGAUGGCAACAACCCGAAUCGAAUUUCGAAUUUCCUAUUACUAACUCAAUGCUGUAACGUAGUUUUAAUGGAGCUUCAUUGACUAAUAAUUAAUUGAGCUGUAACGUAGUUUUAAUUGAGCUUCAUUGACUAAUAAUUAAAUUUUAUAUUUUUAAUUAAUUGAUUGGCAAUUAUUCAAUUAUUUGGAGUGUGUUUGUUGUUGUUGACUGAUAAUUAAACAAAUGGAGAUUGUUAUUAGUUAAAUUGGAGUGGGUUUACUGAUAAUUGAACAAUUGGAGACUGUUAUUAAUUAAAUUGGAGUGGGUUUGUUGCUGUUAUUAAUAAUUAAAUUAGAGAUUGUUAAUUAAUUAAUUGAUUAACCCGAACUAACCCGAAUUAUUCUAACCCAAACUAACCCGAACCGAUAUGUUAACCCGAAUUAUCAACCCAAUCCGAUCCGAAUUGCCAACUCAAACCGAACCGAACCGAAUUAAAUUCGGUUCGGUUUGGUUCGAGUUGGCGUUUUCAACCCGAUUGGGUUCAAUUCUCCAACCCGAACGGGUUGAAACCCAAACCGAAACCCGAACAACCCGAACCGAAACCCAAUUUGCCCACCCCUAGCUGAGACACAAGUCGGUAACAAAAAUAAUAUUAAAGUUAGAUAAAUUAUGUACAACUAUAUUCAAUGUAAAAAUUGCACAAUAUUAAUAACUCAAAAUAAUUGAUAAUAAAAAUGUUAUUGGGGCACAUACAUAAAAGCUUUUAUUUGUUUAUUUGAGAGUUUUUCUUUUUCAUUUAUUUAAAAGUAAGAGUGAUGGAAAAAGUUCAAAUCAAUUUUUUAUAAAUUUUUAAUUCUAUUUUUUUCAAUAUUUGAACUCAUGUUAUAAUUGAAUAAAAUUAUUUGAAGACCAUUCAACUAAGGUUUGGUUUGGGAAUCUAGGGAUUGAGAGUAUGGAGUGUGAGUGAAAAUAUGUUGUUUACUUACAUUGAAAGGAGAGUGUGGAAUAGGAGAAUCGUAUUUAUAUAUUUUUACUUUGACUUGGAUUAGGAGUAAAUUAUUUUAAAUUACACUUUUACCCUUAUUUAAAAUAUUGUAGUUUUUAAUUAUAAAGUAAAUAAAAAAUAUAUUUAUAAAAUAAAUUAUAUAAUUACAUAAAUUACUAAUAAUUAUUAAUAUUCUUAAUCAUGUAAAUCAUAAUUUUUUAUUAAUUUUAAUUAUGUAAAUUACAUAAUAAUAUUAUUUAAAUAAAUAUGAUGUUAUUAUUUUUAAAUAAUGUAACAUUAUUUUAUUUUUAAAAAAUAUAAAAUUCCUGCUGUACCGUACAUCCGACAUAAGAGCAAAAAAUGAAACAUUAUUAUUAAUAAUAUAGUACAUAAUUAAUAUUUUCUUAAAAUAAACUAUUUAUUAAUAUUAAAUAAAUAUAAAAUAUUAUUUUUUAAAAUAAAGAUAGUAUAUUGUAAUAAUAUUAAUUCUCUAUGAAUAUAAUAAUAAUAUUUUUAGGUAAUUUUAACUUAGAUUACAUAAAUUAUUAUUUUUAACUAAACAUAAUAAUAUUAUUUAAAUAAAUAUGAUGCUAUUAUUUUUAAAUAAUGUAACAUUAUUUUAUUUUUAAUAAAUAUAAAAUUUAUUAGAUUUGAUAAAGAAAUGAUAAUAAAGAAAGAGGUGGGAGUGGCCCCUGUAGAAGUGAGAAUCCCACUCUUUACUCGGAAAAUGAGUGGGAUCCAUGGAGUGGGACUCUCAUUCCCCUCAUUAUAUAAACAAGAAAACAUUGAAGUGGAAAGAAUUCAUACUAUUUACUCUCAUUUCAAUAAUUAAACAUAACAUAAACUAAUAUUUUGAACAAACUACUAGGCUAGGCCACAAGGGCCCGAAGCCUUUUUGGGCUCAUUUCUUGGACGGACUCAUGAAAAGUUAUCUUCUAAGUUCUUCUUUCUACUCUAUAAAACUUCCCAAGUAAACAAAUGGAAUAUGAUCAUGAAUCGCUGUGUAUCUAGCUUGGUGUAGGAAUCAUACACAAUCUUGCACAUAUUAAUUUAGUACGGACUCUCGAAGAUUUAUUGCGUGUGAAAUGAGCCAAUAUAGAUCUAAAUUGGAGCCAAUUUUGAGAUAAAGAUUUAAUAACAGUUAUAGAUAGGCCCUUAUUUCAAAUUAUUGUCAACUUCAUCAAACAGGGAAUAAAAGAAAUCUCAAAUAUCUAUGACAUAAGAGAAAAGCAAAAGCUAGCUUACAUGAUUAUUCAAAAGGAGAGAUAUAAAUCACUUCACACACGGAAUCGCCGAUAUAUAAAUUUGUAGAUAAGAUCGUUAUACCAUUUAUUUACCCGCACGGAAAACAUUAGAGGUGAAACAACUGCUCCGAAGCCUACCGCAAAUCCAACUGACAUGGCUAUGAAGAACCAAUCAAUUUCAUCGCUUGAAGCUGGCGGCGGUGAAGGUUGAAGUUCGGGAGGACGUGUUUGGCUGUCAUUCGUCAAAGGAGGUCCGUACAAUCCUUUGUUUCCUUCAUAAGAAGUCGGUGAAAAUGAUUGGAGUUGAGUACCUGUCGGAAUCUUUCCCACUAAGUUAUUGUAUGAGAGAUUUAGCACCGAUAGGAAAUUUAGGCUUGCAAGCUGGGCAGG
RNAcentral lists this long non-coding RNA (25278 nucleotides) under Citrus sinensis (sweet orange). RNAcentral's name for it is "long non-coding RNA (CSIN_LNC000206)". The record is from RNAcentral. Lineage: Eukaryota; Viridiplantae; Streptophyta; Magnoliopsida; Sapindales; Rutaceae.